Molecule: ribosomal RNA, 264 nt
Filed under: uncultured archaeon
Lineage: Archaea
Description: partial 16S ribosomal RNA
Rfam family: Archaeal small subunit ribosomal RNA
Source: RNAcentral
AGACGUCUACAUUAGACUACCCCGUAGUCCCAGCCGUAAACUAUGCGCGUUAGGUGUAUCGGUGACCACGAGUCACCGAGGUGCCGAAGGGAAACCGUGAAACGUGCCGCCUGGGAAGUACGGUCGCAAGGCUGAAACUUAAAGGAAUUGGCGGGGAGCACCACAACGGGUGGAGCCUGCGGUUUAAUUGGACUCAACGCCGGGAAGCUCACCGGAUAAGACAGCGGAAUGAUUGCCGGGCUGAAGACUCUGCAUGACUAGCUG